This 450-nucleotide ribosomal RNA is filed under the name uncultured bacterium. RNAcentral describes it as "partial 16S ribosomal RNA". It matches the Rfam family "Bacterial small subunit ribosomal RNA", at positions 338 to 795 of the family's 1533-position model. The record is from RNAcentral.
CCUACGGGUGGCAGCAGUGGGGAAUAUUGGACAAUGGGCGCAAGCCUGAUCCAGCAAUGCCGCGUGUGUGAAGAAGGCCUGCGGGUUGUAAAGCACUUUAAGCAGGAAAGAAGGGGUGGGAGUUAAUACCUUUCAUCAUUGACGUUACCUGCAGAAUAAGCACCGGCUAACUCCGUGCCAGCAGCCGCGGUAAUACGGAGGGUGCAAGCGGUAAUCGGAAUGAGCGGGCGUGGUGUGAGCAUAGCCGGGUGAAAGCCCCGGGCUUAACCUGGGAACUGCGGUGGAUACUGUCGGGCUAGAGUGUGGUAGAGGGGAGUGGAAUUUCCGGUGUAGCAGUGAAAUGCGUAGAGAUCGGAAGGAACACCAGUGGCGAAGGCGGCUCCCUGGACUAACACUGACGCUGAGGUGCGAAAGCGUGGGGAGCAAACAGGAUUAGAUACCCCUGUAGUC